GCCCUACGGGGUGCAGCAGGCGCGAAAACUUUACAAUGCUGGCAACAGCGAUAAGGGAACCUCGAGUGCCGGGUUCCAAAUCUGGCUGUCGAGAUGCCUAAAAAGCAUUUCAUAGCAAGGGCCGGGCAAGACCGGUGCCAGCCGCCGCGGUAACACCGGCGGCUCGAGUGGUAACCGUUAUUAUUGGGUCUAAAGGGUCUGUAGCCGGCCGGAUAAGUCUCUUGAGAAAUCUGGCAGCUUAACUGUCAGGCUUUCAGGAGAUACUGUCUGGCUCGAGGCCGGGAGAGGUGAGAGGUACUUCAGGGGUAGGGGUGAAAUCUUGUAAUCCUUGAAGGACCACCAGUGGCGAAGACGUCUCACCAGAACGGACCUGACGGCAAGGGACGAAAGCUAGGGGCACGAACCGGAUUAGAUACCCGGGUAGUCCUAGCCGUAAACGAUACUCGCUAGGUGUCGGCCACGGUGCGACCGUUGUCGGUGCCGUAGGGAAGCCGUGAAGCGAGCCACCUGGGAAGUACGGCCGCAAGGCUGAAACUUAAAGGAAUUGGCGGGGGAGCACCACAACGGGUGGAGCUUGCGGUUUAAUUGGAUUCAACGCCGGAAAUCUUAC
This 610-nucleotide ribosomal RNA is filed under the name uncultured archaeon. Its description in RNAcentral is "bacterial SSU rRNA". It matches the Rfam family "Archaeal small subunit ribosomal RNA", at positions 320 to 930 of the family's 1478-position model. The record is from RNAcentral.